GUGAGGAAUAUUGGUCAAUGGGCGAGAGCCUGAACCAGCCAAGUAGCGUGCAGGAUGACGGCCCUACGGGUUGUAAACUGCUUUUAUGCGGGGAUAAAGUCAGGGACGUGUCCCUGUUUGCAGGUACCGCAUGAAUAAGGACCGGCUAAUUCCGUGCCAGCAGCCGCGGUAAUACGGAAGGUCCGGGCGUUAUCCGGAUUUAUUGGGUUUAAAGGGAGCGUAGGCCGCCCCUUAAGCGUGUUGUGAAAUUCUGCGGCUCAACCGUAGACGUGCAGCGCGAACUGGGGGGCUUGAGUGCACGCGACGCAGGCGGAAUUCGUGGUGUAGCGGUGAAAUGCUUAGAUAUCACGAAGAACCCCGAUUGCGAAGGCAGCUUGCGGGAGUGUUACUGACGCUGAAGCUCGAAGGUGCGGGUAUCGAACAGGAUUAGAAACCCGAGUAGUCC
This 445-nucleotide ribosomal RNA is filed under the name uncultured bacterium. RNAcentral's name for it is "bacterial SSU rRNA". It matches the Rfam family "Bacterial small subunit ribosomal RNA", at positions 354 to 796 of the family's 1533-position model. The record is from RNAcentral.